Molecule: ribosomal RNA, 468 nt
Filed under: uncultured bacterium
Lineage: Bacteria
Description: partial 16S ribosomal RNA
Rfam family: Bacterial small subunit ribosomal RNA
Source: RNAcentral
GACGAACGCUGGCGGCGUGCUUAACACAUGCAAGUCGAACGGAAAGGCCCUUUUUUUGUGGUGUGCUCGAGUGGCGAACGGGUGAGUAACAUGCGAGUAACCUUCCUUUGACUUUGGGACAUUUUCAGGAAACUGGGGCUAACACCGGAUAGGUGCUCCUUCUGCAUGGUGGGUGUUGGCUAGUUUCGGUGGUUGGGGAUGGACUCGCGGUUUAUUAGCUUGUUGGUGGGGUAGUGGCUUACCAGGGCUUUGAUGGGUAGCCGGCCUGAGAGGGGGACCGGCAACAUUGGGACUGAGAUACGGCCCAGACUCCUACGGGAGGCAGCAGUGGGGAAUAUUGCACAAUGGGCGGAAGCCUGAUGCAGCAACGCCGCGUGCGGGAUGACGGCCUUCGGGUUGUAAACCGCUUUCGCCUGUGACGAAGCGUGAGUGACGGUAAUGGGUAAAGAAGCACCGGCUAACUACGUG